Molecule: transfer-messenger RNA, 409 nt
Filed under: Porticoccaceae
Lineage: Bacteria; Pseudomonadati; Pseudomonadota; Gammaproteobacteria; Cellvibrionales
Also listed under: 2 other names
Description: HB2-32-21 sp003645535 Standard tmRNA
Rfam family: transfer-messenger RNA
About the family: Bacterial tmRNA, also known as 10Sa RNA or SsrA, is named for its dual tRNA and mRNA-like properties. Its role is to liberate the mRNA from a stalled ribosome. To accomplish this part of the tmRNA is used as a reading frame that ends in a translation stop signal.
Source: RNAcentral
GGGGGCGCUCUGGAUUCGACGCCGGUUACAAAACUUGAGGUGCAUGCCGAGAUGGUGACCAAUCUCGUAAAUCCAAAGUCGCAAACUUAUAGUUGCCAACGACGACAACUACGCGCUCGCUGCCUAAACACCAGUAGAACGCCAUCUGACUGGAGCCGUGCUUAUGCGUCCAGCGCUUCAUCUACCCAGGGGUCAAACUCAGGGUAGCGGCGAAGUUCUCAGGUGUCAUAGCUCAUAAGAUCGUGUUGACGCUUGUCCGGGGUCGAUACACUAAAACUUUACCGGAAUCGCCAUUUCAUGCACCUCGUUGGCCGGGUUGUGAAAGGUUAAAUAAAAAGGCCUAACUAAGCAUGUAGAGCCGAUAGCAGCGGACUGACGGACGCGGGUUCGACUCCCGCCGCCUCCACCA